Long non-coding RNA from Etheostoma spectabile (orangethroat darter), 545 nucleotides. RefSeq lists it as uncharacterized. NCBI's taxonomy places the organism in Eukaryota, Metazoa, Chordata, Actinopteri, Perciformes, Percidae. The transcript has 3 exons. The record is from RefSeq and is a predicted model, not a curated record.
AAUAGUAAAAAAAUCCUUACUAUUUGAAUGCUUAAAUUACUAUUCAAAUGUGACUUUUUUUAUAAGUAUGUUUGCUAACGUUAGCUAAUCUCCCUCUUCUUGCCUUGGCCUACAUGCAUGUGUCACUCAUGUCAGGUCUUAUGAACAAUAAGUUAGCGGGAGUGAGAAACACAAGGCAUUGUGAGGUCUAAGCUAACGUUGCGUACUGAGUAACAUUAGUACAACAUUACAGAGCUAACGUUACGUCCCGAGUAAAGUUAGUACAAGGGGGAGUGACAGGCUGCAGCUGGAAAUUGUAAGAAGAAAAGGAAAUAGUUUUAACAUGACUUUAAAAUCAACAUCCACCUAGCCAACGUGCUUACAGUAUGUUAACAUCAGUUAGCUCGUUCUUGUUUUCUAACUGCGUCGCAAAGUAUAGUUAUGUUAGCUUACCUGAGAGCUUAAUGUAGACAGCUAAAGUUUAUGUUAGCUGCCCAACAGCUGUCAGAGUUAGCUUUAUCUUCAUAUAUUACCUUCUAAUAGCUGUAAUCUCAGUAACGUGACAA